UUCUUUCAGAAAAAGUAGGUGGUGAAUUUCAAAUCUGAGCGCUUUUUAUUCAGUUUAAAGCAAUGAACGUUUUUGCCUACUUGUUUAUUUGUGCCUUCACUUUUUGUCACACAGAAUGUAUGCAGAAAUAUGUUAAAAAAAAGUCAAUUUGGGAAUAGGAACGACUCCGUAGUCCACCUACAACCCUAGUAAAGCUGAAUGUUAUUACCAAAAAUCGCAAUACUAUUUGACCAGAUGUUUUCUUAUACUUCUUAACCUAUCUCCUCAUGCCCUCCGAAAAGAAAUAUGUUUUUCUAUGAUUUUUUAUAUUUGGCUGGCCAAGAGGUGAAUACGCUGUUACAACAAUUCCGUUGUAGUGACAGUAGUCAACCAAAUCUUUUUGCAAAAAACCAGGCCAGAUUUCUACCUAAUUUGCCACUGGUUUUGAGGAACUGCAAUGAAUGAUACGCUGUACCUGUUCCAUAUUAAAGUUCGAAAACCCGAUGCUACGAACCAAGCCUAGUUUCACGAGUUCCUCCAUAGCUUUCCAUGUGUCUAUACAAUCAACGUCGCUGAAUGUGAGGAAACCUAUUAGAUGACCUCAACCUAUUCAUUCUCUCCAGUAGUAUUUGACUUGUCUGCAAUUUACCGUCAGAUAUUGGCUUCAGAAUCUCAUCACACAUAUUUUUGUAGCCCACAGGAAAAUGAAGCAAGUAUAGGUCGAUGUAGUUAAAUCCCAGCAGUUUCAGUUUCUGCUUAGCAAAAGUUUCGUAUAAGCCAUACGAGCGUUUUGUAGGAAGUUCAAAGCACAACCAUGCGGUCUUAAUUAUCAGGAACAAGAGUAGAGGGCCCGCUGACUCACUUUUAGCGUCGUUCACCCCAGUGUUAAACUUUGAGUCAAUCAUCAAUCGUCUCGAUUUUACAUAUUCGGACAAGCGUCUGAUAACUUUGCCAGGGCAAGAGCUUGCCACAUAGCGACAGGGUGGACUGUCCAUCACUCAGUUCUACGAAGAGGUCGAGAAGAAGCUCACCCUUCUCACAAAUAAGACGAUCAAGUCACAAGAUGCCACACAGGCGCAAUACAUUAACGAAAAGUAUAGGGCUGACGAACUCCGUGUCUUCGUUUCAGGCUUAAGAAGAGGCCUCACGGAUACAUUAUUUGCGGCACAGCCUGCGGACUUGCCAUCAGCCUUGGCCUUGGCACAAGAACUUGAGGCCAACCAUGAUAGGCAGGACUUUGAAACAAAUUACGCAAGAGCUUUAGAAAGCAAAGCACAGAACCCAACAAAAUAUAGGGCAGGGCGGACAGAAUGAUCCCGAUCACUGUGAGAGACAAUGAAAGAACCCGUUCUACACGAACAAUCAGGGGAACCAUCGAACAGGUGGUCACCGUAGCCAAGACAAAGUAGAGAUGAUGGGUGUUGAUCCAUAUUCCUCUAAAUUCCAUCAUCCAACUGGCUUUCAAAAGCAACAGGGGCACAACCCAGGCCUACCGGAUACAGCAAACCCUAAAACCGGUCACCAACAUGGUGCGUAUAAAAGGCCGGUUGGAUCCCAGAGAUUCUCCGACCAGCGCAGGCAGAGGAUCAAUCAAUCAGCAGAGGAUCAAUCACCUAACUCAGGUGGACCCGUACAAAUACAAAAGACAAUACGAACAGUACAAUAAGCGGUUAUUAACUUGUCUUGUCGUGCCGCCGAUCCUUUUUACACUGACUCAUUCUAUUGAGAUGGGCGACAAUCGACCAUUUUUCUUUUUUUUUUAAUUUUAUCGCUACAGCGAAAUUGGUUGGUCGCAGACGAUGAGUCCGCAUUGACCAGUUACAAAUGUUACUACAAAUUUUGAACUAAAAAAAUAGUUGUUUGCCGAACGAACAAUAAAAAUAUAUUUGAACAAUCGACCAUACCAUACGAUAGUUAAUUAACUACAGAUGGUUGAUGAAAUAUCGAUAGCUAAUAAAAUAUCAAUAGCAGGCUGACAAUAUUAGGGGUGGAAACGUGGUGACGGUUAAAAAUUAAAAAUUUUGAUUAUCAUAAAUGAACUAGCAACAAACCCACUAAAAGAACUUAAAGGUAGCCGACAGCGCUGGGGAAGAAGAGCAAGGGUUGCUAGGUGGCAAGGAGGAGAGAAGGAAACGUGGCCGUAAAGGUUAUAUUGCGAUGGUCAGUUUCCGGGAAGAAGUGCAAGAGAUUGGUCGGCAACCUAAAACAAAAAAAGAGAACAAUAAAAUCAGUGCCCAGACCCGUACAAAAAAGAACAUCAUGAAACCGACAACCGUGAAGCGAGGCGACGACGUCGCUGGAAGGAGGAGAAGGCAGCAGCGGACACCACGCAGAGAGCCGACAGCUGGGUCAGCGACAAGACUGGCCCGGCCGGAGCACCCCGGGAGGAUCAGAGCGCCAGAUCCAGAGAAAACACCUGCCCACGGCACCGGCAAAUCCAACACACCGCACCGGAACAUUCAACGCCCCGCACACCGCAACAUCACAUCAUCAUAUAAAUCAUAUCCACAUCACGCAUCCAUCACACACACACCCGCAUGUAUUAAAAUAGCAAAUAGACGCACAUAUUAACCCCAUUAUGAAUAUAUUUAAAUUUGAAUAAUAAUACCAACAAGCCCCAUAACAUAUUCACAUACACAUAUGCACUCAUUUUCUACAACCUCAUUCGCACGUCAUAUAUUUAUUCCCGAAACAUCUAAUCAAUUAACACUUAGCACAUAUAUUUUCGUUUGACUUAAAAUUCCACAACACAACAAUCACAUUUUUUUUUUUUUUUUUUUUUUUUUUUUUUUUUUUCUCUCUCUUUAUAUUUACA
This 2794-nucleotide long non-coding RNA is filed under the name Drosophila guanche. The record is from RNAcentral. Lineage: Eukaryota; Metazoa; Arthropoda; Insecta; Diptera; Drosophilidae.